Molecule: transfer RNA, 63 nt
Filed under: Nallachius americanus
Lineage: Eukaryota; Metazoa; Arthropoda; Insecta; Neuroptera; Dilaridae
Description: tRNA-His
Source: RNAcentral
AUUUAAAUAGUUUAAUAAAAAUAUUGAUUUGUGGAAUCAAAGAUAUAGGGUCUAUUUUAAAUA